Molecule: unclassified non-coding RNA, 310 nt
Filed under: Pseudomonas jinjuensis
Lineage: Bacteria; Pseudomonadati; Pseudomonadota; Gammaproteobacteria; Pseudomonadales; Pseudomonadaceae
Description: Pseudomonas sRNA P20
Rfam family: PhrS (bases 102-310)
Source: RNAcentral
GCACUUGAUCUGGAUCAGUGCAGAGACCGCUGCCGAUCCAGGCCCAUGGCCCAGUUGAUACAGAUCAAUAUUCACAUCCCCGCCGCCGGUAAUCUGAACCCAUCUUCAAAGAGCAGAUGAGCAACAGAGGGCCGGUACCAUGUUCAUUGACGAAGUGGUUCUCGCAGGUGUCAUCACCGUAGGUCUGAUGAUCGUCUUCUGCGGCGGGGUUGGAUAUUUCAUCUGGAAGGAUUCGCAUCGGCACUGACCGGUAAUCCUCCCGGAUACACAGAGCACGCAAGGCACUUCGGGCGACUUAAGGUCGCCCGUU